GUCCUAGCCGUAAACGGUGUGAACUUGGUGUGGGAGGAAUUAUCCCCUUCCGUGCCGUAGCUAACGCGAUAAGUUCACCGCCUGGGGAGUACGGCCGCAAGGCUAAAACUCAAAGGAAUUGACGGGGGCCCGCACAAGCGGUGGAGCAUGUGGCUUAAUUCGAUGCAACGCGAAGAACCUUACCUGGGCUUGACAUGUGACUGGAUGCCCCGUGAAAGCGGGGAGGCCUUCGAGGCUGUCACACAGGUGCUGCAUGGCUGUCGU
This 264-nucleotide ribosomal RNA is filed under the name uncultured bacterium. RNAcentral describes it as "partial 16S ribosomal RNA". It matches the Rfam family "Bacterial small subunit ribosomal RNA", at positions 793 to 1055 of the family's 1533-position model. The record is from RNAcentral.